This 1551-nucleotide unclassified non-coding RNA is filed under the name Hevea brasiliensis (rubber tree). Lineage: Eukaryota; Viridiplantae; Streptophyta; Magnoliopsida; Malpighiales; Euphorbiaceae. The record is from RNAcentral.
UUUUUUUUUAUUGUUAUUUUCUAGUUGGGAGGCAGACUUUUUAUCCUCUAGAGAUCCGAACACAACGAUCCAGAACGAGAAACUUCCUCAACUAACACCCGCCAUUGCUCACCAGCCACCGCCCCACCACCACCUACAGAGGUAGAGAGGCAAGGGUUCUUAAUCAUCGACAAUGGCGUCCGCCUUUGACUCCUUCAGUCCCGGGGGAGACGACUCCACCAACAACAUCCAAAAUGACCAAAUUUCAUCAAAUUCCCGCCCUUUCGACUACGAUGGCUAUAUGGGUUACGACUCCUCAUUCCCCGCACCCACCUCCCAGGAUGACGUUUUCUCCGGCCAACCUCCACCACCCAUCUCGGAUGACCUCAAUGUUGAUCCUCCUGCCAAUGUUAUGUCGCCCGCCGACUUAAACGACAGCGACCACCCACAUUCCCAGGAGGUGUACGGGUUUGGGUUGUCUGCGCCGAACCAGGAGUUCUCCUCGCCUUUCGAGACCACGGGGACGCCUGAAACCAAUGGUAAUACGAAAGGGUAUGGAGAGGAUGAUGGUGGCAUUUUUGCCUCCGAUGGACCGCUUCUGCCCGAUCCUAGUCAGAUGCGGGAGGAAGGCUUCCAACGACGCGAGUGGCGCCGGCAAAAUGCUCUCCAUCUUGAGGAAAAGGAGAAGAGAGAGAAGGAGAUGCGCAAUCAAAUUAUUAAUGAAGCUGAAGAAUAUAAAAGAGAAUUUUAUGAGAAAAGGCAGCUCAAUUGUGAAACUAACAAGGCUCACAACAGAGAAAGAGAGAAGCUGUACUUGGCUAACCAAGAGAAAUUCCAUAAAGAAGCACACAAACAUUAUUGGAAAGCCAUUGCUGAGAUCAUUCCUCGAGAGGUUCCAAAUAUUGAAAAGAGAGGUAGGAAAGAUCCUGAAAAAAAACCUUCCAUUGUGGUAAUUCAGGGUCCAAAGCCUGGUAAACCCACUGAUCUUUCAAGAAUGAGGCAAAUUUUUGCAAAGGUUAAACAAAACCCUCCAGCUCAUAUGAUGCCUCUCCCACCUGCCAAAGAUGGCAAGGAUGCAAAGGAUGGGAAAGAUGGCAAGGAUGCGAAGGACGGGAAAGACACCAAGGACGGGAAAGAUGGCAAGGAUGCAAAGGGAGGGGAAGAUGGCAAGGAUGCCAAGGGAGGGGAGGAUCGCAAGGAUGAGAAAAGUUCUGCUGCACCUACACCUACACCUACACCUACAACAGCAGCUGCUGCUGUUGCCAACAACCAACCUUCUUUGCCCAUUANAAAGAUCCCCCUGCCAAUGUUGCACCUGACUCAUCUAAAAUAGAGACUCUUGUUGCUGCCGAGGGUGAGCAAACUGCUGCUAGUGAACCAGCCACCAAUGAGUGAUGGCACAUCAUGAUUUUUAUUAUAAAUUUCGUUUCAUUCCUUGAAUACUUUGCUUUAACCAUUUUUGCAAAGAAUAAGUGCAUCUGAGUUGGAUGUUCUUGAGUCUAACCUGGGCUGUUGCAACUGUUGAGCUUCUUCCUAACUAUAGGAUUCUCUAGGAUUUUUUUGGAAUUUUUG